This 253-nucleotide ribosomal RNA is filed under the name uncultured bacterium. Its description in RNAcentral is "partial 16S ribosomal RNA". It matches the Rfam family "Bacterial small subunit ribosomal RNA", at positions 524 to 776 of the family's 1533-position model. The record is from RNAcentral.
GACGGAGGAUGCAAGUGUUAUCCGGAAUCACUGGGCGUAAAGCGUGCGCAGGCGGUUUUGUAAGUCUGUCGUGAAAGCCCCGGGCUCAACCUGGGAAUUGCGAUGGAGACUGCAAGGCUUGAAUCUGGCAGAGGGGGGUAGAAUUCCACGUGUAGCAGUGAAAUGCGUAGAGAUGUGGAGGAACACCGAUGGCGAAGGCAGCCCCCUGGGUCAAGAUUGACGCUCAUGCACGAAAGCGUGGGGAGCAAACAGG